Molecule: ribosomal RNA, 467 nt
Filed under: uncultured bacterium
Lineage: Bacteria
Description: bacterial SSU rRNA
Rfam family: Bacterial small subunit ribosomal RNA
Source: RNAcentral
GAUUGNANCCAAUACGUGCCUAACACAUGCAAAUCGAAUGAAACCAAUAAUUAAUUAUUGGUUUCAUGGUGAACGGGUGAGUAACACAUAAGAAUCAGCUUUUAGAUAAGGCAUAAAAGAGUAAUAUCUUGGUAAUUCCUUAUAUGCGCAGCAGUGCUUAAAAAGGGGACUCCCGUCUAAAAACGAGCUUAUGCCUGAUUAGCUAGUUGGCGAGUUAAAAGCUCACCAAGGCGAAGAUCAGUAGCUGGCCUGAGAGGGCGGCCAGCCACAUUGGGACUGAGACACGGCCCAAACUCCUACGGGAGGCAGCAGUGGGGAAUCUUCUGCAAUGGGCGCAAGCCUGACAGAGCGGCGUCGUGUGAAGGAAGAAGGCCUGAAAUAGGUUGUAAACUUCUUUUACUGAGUAAUUAAUAAUGACAACGCAGUAAAAAAGUAUCGGCUAACUCCGUGCCAGCAGCCGCGGUAAU